Molecule: long non-coding RNA, 7727 nt
Filed under: Podarcis lilfordi (Lilford's wall lizard)
Lineage: Eukaryota; Metazoa; Chordata; Lepidosauria; Squamata; Lacertidae
Source: RNAcentral
AUAUUCAAAUAAAAAACAAAGAUAAGCUUUCAUUAUUAUUUUUCUCCCCCCUCCCCAAAAAGACUUUUUUUCCUUUUAAGAAAUAGACCGUAUAAAGUGUUUUGGGUCACUCAGACCUCCAUGCAGGAAAGGCUUCCAGAUAUCCCUAAACUCUCAACUCCCAGCCAGCAAGGUCAAUAAUAUUGGGUGAUGGGAGGUGUAGUCUGGAAAUAUUUGGAGGGCCACAGAUUAAACGCAACCAUAUUUUGUCUUGUCGCGUUACAAGAAAAGGUUCCUUCCCCAUUCCGUAUAACUUUGCCUCACGCAAUGUCGGGCUGCUUUCUAAUUCCCUUGUUCUAGUGUCGCCAUUUUGAUUUUCAUGUAGGUUUUGUGAGAUGCUAACAGAGCACUGAUGUGGAACGAUUCGUUCUAAGACCACCACCCCAAAAAAAUCAUAAGAUACAUUUCUUUUCCUUUUUUUCUAUUAAAAAACAAAACACUACCGUUGGGUUGGAUACAGACUUAAGUCAUAUGGGCCUACUGACCUCAGUAGGACUUAAGUCUGGAUUCAAUCUGCUGUCUGCUUUGUGGGAGGCGAUGAAAAAAAUAAAAUAACGUAGCCUGUAAAUCUUCACCUUCAACCCUGUAGGCAACUUGGGAGUUCAGAGCGGGGAGAGGCUUUCCCACUCUUUUUUUAACAUCCUUUCGUGUGCUCCAAGUUGCUCACACACAUACAUGAAAUUAAGAGGAAGGUCCUUGCUGACUGUGGAGCUCCAUAAUAAAGACCCGCUAGAGGUUAAUGGAUUGCAGUUCCCGUAUGUAAUAGACCAGACCCAGUUGUGUUGCAGGUGUUAGAUUAUAUGAGAUCUGUACUGCACAGCCACCGUAGACGUUCACGUAGAGACAUCCAUGGUGGAUUUGGUGCACAUGCCUUGCCAAAGCCAGAUAAAAACUAAACCAGCACCUGUGAAUUCAUACUUUGAGGGACGUAAGGCCUCGAUCGGCGGGGUCGUUCCCCCCACCCAGGAGCCAAAGGGCACAGGUGUUGAUUUUUAUUUUAUUUUAUUUUUGAACAGCGCAAACCGACAGGGCUCGGGUCUUCCCCGUCAGCUUCCUUCUCACGUUAUCCAGACCCCUUUCCCCACCCUUUCUACUCUUGAGAUGCCUUUGGAACCAAGUCCUGAGCCAGUAAUCUGGUAUCUGAAGCCAAGAGUUGAGAUUCACUCUGCUUUUUAUUCCUACCUCACCCUCCAAAAAAGAAAAAGAAAAGAAAGCAGAAUGCCUAACUCUUUCUCGACACAUACACCCUGCUUUUCCUGUUGCAGUUACAAAGCAACAGCGGUUCUCUCCAUUCCACGCCGCAGUUUGCGCGAAGGUUUUCCUCUUCCCCGCCCAGCGCACUUUCCUUUCAACUGGCAAUGACCACGAUUAAAAAUUGCAUUAAUGGGGCCAAGGCAUCGCCCUGGUGGUCAAGACCCGUCCGAGGCGCGACAGACUUUUUUGCUGAGCCAAAGGAGCAAGUGAAUUACGAGUGGCUCCUUAAACUUUGUAGCACCCAUUCCCACUUUGUGACAUUUUUUACCACUCCUUUCCCCCCCCCCCUUUCCGGUGGCCAAGAUGUGCGCUUAAAAGUAUUCUUUCUGGGAGGCAGGUGCUGCAGGGAAUUGCAUCUUUUGUCUGGUUGUAUACAUAGCAAGUUGCUGUUUGGUUAUUAAAUGUCCUCCUGUAGUUCUCCAAAGAGGAGCUCAAGAGUUGAUCCUAUGAUCCCUCAAAAAAAUUUCUUUCAUCCAGUAGUUGUUGGGGGUGGGCGAGGGUAGAGGUGUUAGGCUUGAUUUGGGUUUCCUUUUGCUAAUGGUUUGAAAUUUUGGAAUCUUGGAAGUUUCAGGACCCAUUUCUUGUUGGGUAUGUGUGUCCCGUCCCCCCCCCUAUUCAUUAAUUAUUGUUAAAGGAGCCUCCUUUUUAUUUUAUUUUUUAUUUCUUCCCCUCAGCACUUAACAUGACAAAAAGUCUGUGUACAGCGUGAGUAUUGUACAAAAAUGGGGAGGGGGAGUUUCUCCUUUUUCUUUCCCCCCCUUCAUCCCCCCUUUUUUUCGAAAGUAGUUGUAUAGAGUUGUGUUCCAUAUAAUACCGAAUGAUGACUUCUUUCCAAAUUGUGACAAUAAUAAUGAAAAGAAAAACCGAAUAAUACUCAAAACUUCAGGGACUGUUCAGGGCUCAUUUAGAGGGUCUGAACACUCAACUGCAUUUGUACGACAUAGUAUUGUAUCAAGCAUUUUCUGUAUUUUAAUGAAAAAGCAAAACACUAGUUUCAUAUUUAAGAUUUUAAGAGUUUGUUGGGUGGGGUGGGGAAGGAAUUACAUUUUUUUGGUUCUGUUUUUUGUUUUGUUUUUUUGGAGAUACAGAACGAGCCUCCUGAGGAUUUUCUUUCUUUCUUUUGAAGUGCAGGGGCCUGGCAGCUUGAUGAUAUGCUUUAGUCAGUUUAGAUCCAGAAUGUUUUCGGAAUAACAGGAGAGGAAAAUAAAGAAUAAAGUAGAAGAAGUUGUAUUAAAAAUAAAAGAAAAGAUAGCUCAUACCCAAAUCCACAAAACUAUUUUUUAAACCAAAGCACAUUUUGAAAUGAGUAUGGAACCUCGCUUGGCUCAGAAAAAAAAAUUAAUAUAUUUAUCUCAUUGUUUACAUAAACUUCUACAGUUACAGACCUCAACAGAUCUAGGGGCCAGUCAAAAUUAAUCUUUGCUUUUUCCAUUGGUUUAGCUGUCAAAUGGCUUAACACAAUUUUGUUUAAUGGGGGGGGCAUUAAAUUAAAUAUAUACAUAUUUCUCACCAACUCUAUUUAGGAAGUAAUCUGCAUUCCACCACAUUUUUCGGAUGCAUCAGGUGUUGGAGGGGGAAAGAGUCACAUAGGCCUCACUAGUUGAUACCCUGAAAACAGGAAAGAGAUUUCCAUUCAAAGCAGUUCAGGGACAGACAGGAUCGCGUCGAGGAAGCAGGGAAUUUCAUAGAGGCGGGCUUCCAUCUGUUAAAGCUGCAUUGCAUAGGAAGUAAUGGCAUCCAUUGGUGGUUAAUACAUAUGGUGCUGGAUUUGAAAGGUUUUGUAGGAAAGGGAAAGAGGGAGAUAAAGGAUGUGGAUGGAUAUGUCCUCCAGCAAUCACAUAUCUGAGUGGGGAUGGUGGGAGCAGCAGAUGAUGGAGAAAACCAGGGGGACACUGCCUUUUGGAGGAGGGCAAACAGACGCCUAACGUUAGCCGAGAAGCUGGGCUGCUGUUCUUCUUAGCCCCUGCUAAUGGGAAAUUGCCAAAUAUAAUAUUUAUAUAUAUGUAUAUCUUUAUUCCAGCCGUGGGCUACUCUGAAGAGCCACAAUGUUUUCAGAAGACACCAAAGAGCUUCUGACAAGUAGCUUUAUCUUAGGGCAUUAGCCUCAGAAAGGAGGAAGGGCCUUAGCUGGUCCUGUACCGAAAUGUCCACAGGUAUUAAAAGGGCUCAGUAAUCAAAAGACCAGCCUCGGGCAACCUUUGAGAGGUAGUCUUAUCUGGUAUGUGCCCUCCCUGGGUUCAGAUGCAUGGGCGCAUAUGCCAAAAUUGCUUAGAUUCCUAACACUUUCUGGUUUUUUUCUUUCUUCUUUUGACGAUUUGGAUUAAUUCACUCCAAUGAGGCUUGGGCAGGGAUGGGGAGUUGACAUGCAAGUCUCCAAAUCAGCAAGUCUGCCUGACCCAGUUCGCAGUCUGGUGGGCACUAUAGAGGAAGCACACCACUUUCUAUCUCAGCGGGGUGUGUUAAAUGCCAUGGGCCUCUGGGCUACCCAAUGUACAACAUAGAUGAGAAGUCAUUUCUUGUCCUGUGUUUACGGGCCUGGUGUUUCCGUUCCCUCUCUGGUGGUUUGGCCAGACUGUGACCUGGGUAGGCUAGAUCCCAAGUUGUAGUGCUCACGAGUGGAAGUGCUCUUUGUAUAUUCUUGGUUUUUCUAAAGGAAGAAAGAAAAAGGCAAUGCAAGACAUACAAAAGUAUUUCCAUGUUUUAAAAAAGGCAUGCUUAGUUUUGCAUCUUAGAUAAAAAUGAGAAUGAUCACCGAAGAACAUUUAUAAUUAUGAAGCUCCCACCUUCCAAAAUUAUACACACUUCUCCACUUGGCAUUUUUGUUUAAUUUAGUGCUGUUUUUCCACUUAACGCCAAAGCCACCUCAUUAUUAUUUUUUUCGGAGAGAGGGAAGAAAAACCUACUUUGGGGUGAGAAGAGGCAGGAGAAGCCUGAUGGAAAACAAACAAAUUAAUUUUGCCUGGUCUUGAAUAUCUAACAAAGAUGGUGCAAACACUAUUUGACAGUGUUGUUUUUUGUAUCAAUAUGUAUGUGCAGUAAUGAAUGUAUUUAUUUCUCAAAAUUCUGUAUGCACAGUUUUGCAAGGAAAAAAAGAAACUCAGAGCAUUUGCAAAAGAUGAAAAGAUGUGUCCGCAGGGUCUUUGCUACAGGAUUUCAAAGAGUAAAAAUAAAAUAAAAAAUGUAUUAAAAAGUUUUAAAACUUAAAAAAACAAAAAAGAAUCUCAGAGACUCUCAGCAUAGCCAUAAACCAUAGCCUGUGAAGACAAUACAAAGACUGGACUUUUGUAGCUUUUUUGCAUAGAAGACGGAUUUGUUUUGCUGUAUUUAAAUGUUUCCAGUUACAAUGUCAUUCUUAUACGAUUUCCUGUCCUCUUUUUUUCUCUCUCAUAUGUUUGUGUGUGUGUGUGUGCGCGUGUGUGCGUGUGCAGAUGUAUACACGUGCGUGUGUGAGCAAGGAUGUCAAGCACUGAUUUUGAACAGUGCAGGUCAAAGUCUGGGUUAGCAGUAUUUUUAUUUUUUACCAUGUCACUUCUGUUCUAAAACGCAGGAACGUCAGCCCUGAAAAGGAAACACCUGGGGCAUUUGGUAAUAGAUGACAAAACCUAUGAUCUGAAGUGGAACAGUGGUGUGGGACGUGGUCAGGGUUUGAUUAUCAUGGCGAGAAAGAAAAAGAGAUAGGUGCAGGCAGUGUGAGCCAUGUUCCAUGCUGGUGCUUGGAUAGGAAAAUGUCCCAGCCCAUUCCAGUGUCUUUCCCUUUUCCUCGGUGUUUACAGUGCAAGCAAUAAUGGUCAAAUAUUUUGGCAUAGAGAUGAGGUUAGCAAAGGGGUGGGGGGAAUAGGUUAACAAAGGGGGGAAAUGGAUUGUGCACCAUGCUUGUGGAUGUUUUUGACGUGAUGCGGCCGCAGUGUUCCCAUACCACCACAUGCUCAAACAUUUCUUUUUAUCUGGGACCGUUCACAUCAUUUCAUAGCACCUGCCCAACCUUUCGCCAAAAGGGACCACAGCUAUUGCGUUAAAGCUCAGGCACUGGGGAGUCUUUUGCUAUGUCCCAACAAAUUCCAGUUGCAACCAGUCUUUUCCUGCUUGCAUCAUGCCUUCAAGACGAGCGUUGUCAUUCCUUCCGCAGGGCAAAAGCAUUAUGCAGCGCAAGGAUGCUGAGCCUGAGAAAUGACCACAAAUCGCCUCUGAGAGCCCUGCCGUUCUAAGUAGGACAAGGAGGGUCUCAGUGAAAUAGGGGGAAGUGGCAGUUUAAGGGCCAAGAUGGACCUUUUCAGUCAAGUGCUGCUAGGUCUAAAGACCCAGGAAGACAUCAGAGACGCAGUGCACAGAUAACAUGGCAUGUGUCCAAAGUAGCGCCAGAACAAGGGCAUUGGAUACAACCCAUUACCAGGAUGCCCCUUAUUUAAAAGACACAUCUGGAGGGCCAACUUGAAUCAUACAAGUGCGCUGUGUUUCAUCCCGAUGGGUGCCCAGCAUUAGAAAUGUACAAGGACCGUCUAGUCUUUGCCUGCCUGCUUUUUUCCUACUCCAAAUUCCCCUCCAUCCUGUGCAGGGUUCCAGAUGUGUACCUGCUGAGGAGGAAACAGCUGGUGGGGUGAAGCAUUAAGCACCCCUCUUUCUUCUGGGGUCCUGUCCACCCAUGUGGUUGUUGAGAUAAUGUUACGUGCCAGCUCACUUCUUUUGAACCUGGAGUCAAGCAAACCUUUUUGUGGGGUCUUAAGGCAGUAAGAUUGCAAACCCCCUAGAAAUCGAGCCCUCGAUGUUUCACUGCUGUGGGUGCUGUUUUCCACCCCUACAGGCGUACGUUGCACAGGCAUCUAGGAAAUAAAAGCCUUUCAACUAGAUAUAUUCAAUACGCAGUGACAUUAAAAUGAAGACCACAAAAAUCUUGCAGCCGCUGACUCAUUGAACAAGCUCCUUUUCCAACCUGGUGCCUUCCAGGUUUUUUGGACUACCAACUCCCAUCUGCAGGCCCAAGCACUGGGGAGGGCACCUAGUUGGGGAAGGCUGCCUAACUACUACUAGCUAAACCUCUCGCUUGAUGCAACGCUGAGUUUUUGUCCCAGUCCUUCAGUCCCUCCUGCUGGCCUUCACUCCCAUGUACUCGUAAGCGUUCAGUUGGGGUGAGUGUGUGGGGGCUGGCUUCUCACGCACAAUUCCUGAAAUGCUUUCCAAACGAAUUAUUUUCUUUUCAAUGGGAGACGCUCCUAGGAUCCGGAGUGAGAUUUCCGUGCUGUGCCGGACUUCCUUUCCGAGCUUCAUGUGUUAAUGGGGAAUGAUUUCCCCGUUUUUCUACCUCACUCAUACCUCCAGUGGAUGUUGCAAUACUUUUCUUUUCUCUUAACUGUCUUUUAGAACUCUCGGAAAGGAUUUGGAGGAUGGGAACUUCUUUUUUUUAAGGCGUCCCACUCAUUCUCUCUGCCCCGCCCCAUCCUCUCUCUGCUACCUGUGUUGAACAUGUGGUUUGGGUGCACCGACUGCCAUGUCUUAUAUCAAACAGGAUAAUGUAAGGUGCUUAGGUUAGCGCAAGGCAUGGUGGGAAAAGUCACAAGAAGACAGUUCAUAGGUUUUGCUCUUACCAGCAAACGAGAAUAUAUGUCAUGCAUUCUGGAUGUACACACAACUUUUAUCAGUUGCAAGAUAAUGGUCGUAAAUUAAUAAACCAAGAUUUGGAUUAUUCAGAUUUUUCCCUUCCCUUGGGGAGGGGGAGAGGAAGAGCCACGCUUUAGUGGGUUGUUUUUUUAAUUAUUAUUAUUUAAAGUUCAGCUGGGAAAAGCAGUGGUGCGUCCCCCUCCCCUGCCUUGUUUAAGCCUUAACUCUCUGCCAGACCAAAAAUCCCAGAUGUUUCCCUCAGCACGGCUGAUGUUCCUCUUGCAAUGUUCUGUUGAUUUCCUUCAAGAGCUUGAAUUCAGGUCAGAGUUGCAGGGUGCUGUGGCUCCAACUCAAGUGUCAUAUUGGGGAAAAUAAAAAAAAAACAAAUUAUAAUAUGAUCUCAGCAUUCAGAAAUUUGCAGUCUUAAUGUACAGUGAUGAGAAACUGUUAUUUUAUGAACUUUUCAUUAAAAGGUUGAUUGAAAAUUAUAAUCUCAUUCCUCUUUUGGUCUCGGCAUGCUUGCAUUUAUAUUGUUAUUUAUUUUGUUAUUAGUUCUGUUAAUUCCAGCAUGAAGUCACCGGGUGGGUCUCAACAAUGUAAAAUGCAACAUUAAAAAACAGUUUAAAGCCAAUUACAGUCACAAGAAUCGGGGGUUUUCUAAAUUUUGUGUGUUUGUGUGUGUCACAGACUUGGGUGAAAUGUUUCCUCAGCAUAUGGCAAAAACAAUAAUGGUGCAAGAUGUACUUUUGUGAGAAGGGAAUUCCACAACUUAGGGGCUGCCACAGAGAAUGCCAUCAACCUGGACCACCCCAAAAUUCUCAGGGUGGAGAAACUACCAAGAG